UACUAGGCAGGGAGAGCCACAUUUUUAGAAA
RNAcentral lists this non-coding RNA (31 nucleotides) under Macaca fascicularis (crab-eating macaque). RNAcentral also lists the same sequence under 1 other name. Lineage: Eukaryota; Metazoa; Chordata; Mammalia; Primates; Cercopithecidae. The record is from RNAcentral.